CAUGAAUUGACUGAGUACAUAUCAAGUCUUACACUGUAUACUUCACAUGCACUAACUCUCCUACUCUUCACGACAAGCAUGCAAGGUGGGAAAAUAGAGGCUGAGAGAAAUUGAGUAACUUGCCUCAAGCCAUAUAUUCGGCACCGAGAUGUGAUCUGAGCCAGAGCCAAGAACUGAGGUCCAAACAGUGUGCCUUGCGCAAGGCCACACAAGAGAUAAUGGCACUGGCUGUACCAGUGGCCCAGAUCCUUCACUUGCAGAAGAGCUUCCCAGAGAGGAGCAAGCCCUCCUGCCGUCACCUCUGGUGUCAUCCUAUAGGACAUUAAAACCAACUCAAGAUUGUGUUGAAAACUGUUUUCCUUUUGAGGAUGCUAAUAAGAACAAGAUCAUAUCAAUGGGUAUGGAUCAUGGCAGGAUUUUCCUUCAGCUGAGUCUUUUAAUGAGCCGUUUCAUAAUGAGGGCUGAAUCUACACACAGUAUCUACAUGCU
RNAcentral lists this long non-coding RNA (489 nucleotides) under Pan troglodytes (chimpanzee). RNAcentral describes it as "lincRNA". The record is from RNAcentral. Lineage: Eukaryota; Metazoa; Chordata; Mammalia; Primates; Hominidae.